UAUUUACUGUAUAAUCCCGGAAU
RNAcentral lists this non-coding RNA (23 nucleotides) under Cricetulus griseus (Chinese hamster). Lineage: Eukaryota; Metazoa; Chordata; Mammalia; Rodentia; Cricetidae. The record is from RNAcentral.